This 1050-nucleotide ribosomal RNA is filed under the name bacterium. Its description in RNAcentral is "bacterial SSU rRNA". It matches the Rfam family "Bacterial small subunit ribosomal RNA", at positions 76 to 1143 of the family's 1533-position model. The record is from RNAcentral.
UGCUGCGGCGUGGAUUAGUGGCGAACGGGUGAGUAACGCGUGAGUAACCUGCCCUUGACUCUGGGAUAAGCCCGGGAAACUGGGUCUAAUACUGGAUAUGCACCGUGGACCGCAUGGUUCUUGGUGGAAAGAUUUUUUGGUCAAGGAUGGACUCGCGGCCUAUCAGCUUGUUGGUGAGGUAAUGGCUCACCAAGGCGACGACGGGUAGCCGGCCUGAGAGGGUGACCGGCCACACUGGGACUGAGACACGGCCCAGACUCCUACGGGAGGCAGCAGUGGGGAAUAUUGCACAAUGGGCGAAAGCCUGAUGCAGCGACGCCGCGUGAGGGAUGACGGCCUUCGGGUUGUAAACCUCUUUCAGUAGGGAAGAAGCGAAAGUGACGGUACCUGCAGAAGAAGCGCCGGCUAACUACGUGCCAGCAGCCGCGGUAAUACGUAGGGCGCAAGCGUUAUCCGGAAUUAUUGGGCGUAAAGAGCUCGUAGGCGGUUUGUCGCGUCUGCCGUGAAAGUCCGAGGCUCAACCUCGGAUCUGCGGUGGGUACGGGCAGACUAUAGUGAUGUAGGGGAGACUGGAAUUCCUGGUGUAGCGGUGAAAUGCGCAGAUAUCAGGAGGAACACCGAUGGCGAAGGCAGGUCUCUGGGCAUCUACUGACGCUGAGGAGCGAAAGCAUGGGGAGCGAACAGGAUUAGAUACCCUGGUAGUCCAUGCCGUAAACGUUGGGCACUAGGUGUGGGGGACAUUCCACGUUUUCCGCGCCGUAGCUAACGCAUUAAGUGCCCCGCCUGGGGAGUACGGCCGCAAGGCUAAAACUCAAAGGAAUUGACGGGGGCCCGCACAAGCGGCGGAGCAUGCGGAUUAAUUCGAUGCAACGCGAAGAACCUUACCCAGGCUUGACAUGUGCCAGACCGCCAUAGAAAUAUGGUUUCCCCUUUUGGGGCUGGUUCACAGGUGGUGCAUGGUUGUCGUCAGCUCGUGUCCUGAAAUGUUGGGUUAAGUCCCGCAACGAGCCCACCCUCGUUCUAGUUGCAGCACUUAUGGUGGGACUCAAG